AGCCUAGGACCCCGACUCUGGCAGGGGAUGCUUCUGAACAGUGCUAAGUGGAAGCCCAUGAAAGAACAGACUGUUCUCAAGGCCCGUGGAGGAAAAGAUGUUACAAGCCAUCCCUCCAGAUUCCUGGACAAGCUCUGAGUCCCUGCCCAGAAACCAAAAGGCAGAAUCAGUGUUAUAUUUGUGGUCAGAUGAGCUAACGACAUCCUUCCUGACUUCUUUCUCAGAAUUAGGAAACCCUGAUUAGCAUUUAUAACCUCAUUUUCACAGACUUCACUCAUUAAAACAUCAAGACCUAGGUAACACAUCAGUGAAAUUUCAUAAUGUGGAGGAUAUGUUUAAAAUAUGUAUUUUAAACUGUGGUUAAAAUAUGUUUUUAAAAUGUUUAUGAGUCAAAAUAAUUAAAAUUGCCAUUUAACAUAA
Molecule: non-coding RNA, 420 nt
Filed under: Pongo abelii (Sumatran orangutan)
Lineage: Eukaryota; Metazoa; Chordata; Mammalia; Primates; Hominidae
Source: RNAcentral